AAGUCGUAACAAGGUUUCCGUAGGUGAACCUGCGGAAGGAUCAUUAUUGAGGGAUUGAUUUGAAAGUAGUGUGAAUGAGGAUGUUGCUGGGGGACUGAGGACUCUUCUGGGUUGCUCACCACUGGGCUACCUUUGAAAGUGAUCCCGUACCCCCACCUGUUAACCACUUUACCAUCUAUUGAUACAUACCUGGGAUCACUCCCAUGGGAUAAAACAACUUUUAGCAACGGAUCUCUAGGCUCUC
This 244-nucleotide unclassified non-coding RNA is filed under the name fungal sp. RNAcentral describes it as "partial internal transcribed spacer region". The stretch from base 1 to 46 matches the Rfam family "Eukaryotic small subunit ribosomal RNA", at positions 1786 to 1831 of the family's 1831-position model. The record is from RNAcentral. Lineage: Eukaryota; Fungi.